CGAAAACGAAUUCUCUCUUGAGUGGAUCCUGAGUACGACGGAGCACGUGAAAUUCCGUCGGAAUCUGGGAGGACCAUCUCCUAAGGCUAAAUACUCUCUAGUGACCGAUAGUGAACCAGUACCGUGAGGGAAAGGUGAAAAGUACCCCGGAAGGGGAGUGAAAGAGAACUUGAAACCGUGUGCUUACAAGUAGUCAGAGCCCGUUAAUGGGUGAUGGCGUGCCUUUUGUAGAAUGAACCGGCGAGUUACGAUCUGAUGCAAGGUUAAGCAGAAAAUGUGGAGCCGUAGCGAAAGCGAGUCUGAAUAGGGCGAAUGAGUAUUUGGUCGUAGACCCGAAACCAGGUGAUCUACCCUUGGUCAGGUUGAAGUUCAGGUAACACUGAAUGGAGGACCGAACCGACUUACGUUGAAAAGUGAGCGGAUGAACUGAGGGUAGCGGAGAAAUUCCAAUCGAACUUGGAGAUAGCUGGUUCUCUCCGAAAUAGCUUUAGGGCUAGCCUCAAGUGAUGAUUAUUGGAGGUAGAGCACUGUUUGGACGAGGGGCCCCUCUCGGGUUACCGAAUUCAGACAAACUCCGAAUGCCAAAUAAUUUAACUUGGGAGUCAGAAUGUGGGUGAUAAGGUCCAUAUUCGAAAGGGAAACAGCCCAGACCACCAGCUAAGGUCCCAAAAUAUAUGUUAAGUGGAAAAGGAUGUGGCGUUGCCCAGACAACUAGGAUGUUGGCUUAGAAGCAGCCAUCAUUUAAAGAGUGCGUAAUAGCUCACUAGUCGAGUGACACUGCGCCGAAAAUGUACCGGGGCUAAACAUAUUACCGAAGCUGUGGAUUGUCCUUUGGACAAUGGUAGGAGAGCGUUCUAAGGGCGUUGAAGCAUGAUCGCAAGGACAUGUGGAGCGCUUAGAAGUGAGAAUGCCGGUGUGAGUAGCGAAAGACGGGUGAGAAUCCCGUCCACCGAUUGAC
RNAcentral lists this ribosomal RNA (958 nucleotides) under Staphylococcus pseudintermedius. RNAcentral describes it as "partial 23S ribosomal RNA". It matches the Rfam family "Bacterial large subunit ribosomal RNA", at positions 380 to 1345 of the family's 2925-position model. The record is from RNAcentral. Lineage: Bacteria; Bacillati; Bacillota; Bacilli; Caryophanales; Staphylococcaceae.